Molecule: ribosomal RNA, 579 nt
Filed under: Triticum aestivum (bread wheat)
Lineage: Eukaryota; Viridiplantae; Streptophyta; Magnoliopsida; Poales; Poaceae
Description: partial small subunit ribosomal RNA
Source: RNAcentral
AUGGAUGGAGUAUUGUCGUUACACGAAAUUCUACAUCAUACUUAUAGCAAGAAGAAGGUGGGGAUUGUCAUCAAGCUUGAUUUCGAGAAGGCCUAUGACAAAGUGAACUGGGACUUUCUUUUAGAAUGUCUUGAGAUGAGAGGGUUUGGUCCCACAUGGUGUGGGUGGAUUAAAAGUGUCCUGGUUGAUGGCACAGUCAGUGUGAAGCUGAACAAUGUGAUGGGGCCAUAUUUCAAGAGCUUUAAAGGGGUUAGACAGGGGGAUCCUGUGUCGCCCUUCCUUUUUAACAUUGCUGUUGAAUGCUUGUGUAAAAUGGUGCUGCAGGCGCAGAAAAAUAAUCUAGUUGUGGGACUCACUCCGGAUCUUGUUGAAAAUGGAGUGGCAAUUCUGCAAUAUGCAGAUGAUACAGUCCUUUGCAUAGACCAUGAUUUGGAUAAAGCUGUGAAUAUGAAGUUGCUGUUAUACAUAUUUGAGCUCAUGUCUGGGUUCAAAAUCAAUUUCCAGAAAAGUGAGAUUCUGUGUGUAGGGGGGAUGAUGAGAUCCUUAAAGCAUAUGCUGAUAUUUUUGAUUGUCAAAUAG